ACGGAGGGUGCAAGCGUUAAUCGGAAUUACUGGGCGUAAAGCGCGCGUAGGUGGCUUGAUAAGCCGGUUGUGAAAGCCCCGGGCUCAACCUGGGAACGGCAUCCGGAACUGUCAGGCUAGAGUGCAGGAGAGGAAGGUAGAAUUCCCGGUGUAGCGGUGAAAUGCGUAGAGAUCGGGAGGAAUACCAGUGGCGAAGGCGGCCUUCUGGACUGACACUGACACUGAGGUGCGAAAGCGUGGGUAGCAAACAGG
RNAcentral lists this ribosomal RNA (252 nucleotides) under uncultured bacterium. RNAcentral's name for it is "partial 16S ribosomal RNA". It matches the Rfam family "Bacterial small subunit ribosomal RNA", at positions 525 to 776 of the family's 1533-position model. The record is from RNAcentral.